This 338-nucleotide ribosomal RNA is filed under the name uncultured soil bacterium. RNAcentral describes it as "bacterial SSU rRNA". It matches the Rfam family "Bacterial small subunit ribosomal RNA", at positions 26 to 372 of the family's 1533-position model. The record is from RNAcentral.
AGAUUGAACGCUGGCGGCAUGCUUUACACAUGCAAGUCGAACGGUAACAGGCCGCAAGGUGCUGACGAGUGGCGAACGGGUGAGUAAUGCAUCGGAACGUGCCCAGUCGUGGGGGAUAACGCAGCGAAAGCUGUGCUAAUACCGCAUACGAUCUAUGGAUGAAAGCGGGGGACCGAGAGGCCUCGCGCGAUUGGAGCGGCCGAUGUCAGAUUAGCUAGUUGGUGGGGUAAAGGCCCACCAAGGCGACGAUCUGUAGCUGGUCUGAGAGGACGACCAGCCACACUGGAACUGAGACACGGUCCAGACUCCUACGGGAGCAGCAGUAGGAUAUGGACAAU